This 1704-nucleotide long non-coding RNA is filed under the name Vigna radiata. Its description in RNAcentral is "long non-coding RNA (VRAD_LNC011478)". The record is from RNAcentral. Lineage: Eukaryota; Viridiplantae; Streptophyta; Magnoliopsida; Fabales; Fabaceae.
AUAUAUAUAUAUAUAUAUAUAUUAGCAUAAUAUAUGUCAUACGUAUUUACUAAGUAUAUGUAAAACUAUAUUAUAUUAAUAGAAUUUGUUAACAUAUGAAAUCACUGCACCUUAUAUAUAUAGAUAUAUUACUAUAUUAUAUUAAUAUCACAUAUUAUCUUACCUUUUCUCAUUCCAACAACUUGUUUUUCCUUUUAAUACCCACAUCCACCGUAACUUCCUUUUUCUUUUAACUCUCUCUUCUCCUUUUAUUUUAUAAAACCUUAUAUAUUCCAUCCCAUGGAUAAACAACCUGUGCACACCCAUCCUCCCAUCCCUUUUCAUCCUCAUUGUUGAUAGACCCAACCACUCAAGCUUUCUUUAUUUCUUUUCACAGUAACCAAAAUCUAUCACUUCCUCCUUAUGAAAUGUCACAUAAUAUUUCCCCAAAGCUACACUAUAACCACAUUUACUUUCAGAUAAUCCCACGGAAACUAUCACACCCAAUCUCUUGAGUUAACCUGACGCAACACUAUGGUUAAGCCAUACAAACUUCUUCCCCUAAAAUCAACAACUUAACAUUUCUUUCACUGGUGCACACAAACUUAUAACCUCUUCCUAAUACACUCCAUAAACAUAGACUUUCACUACCUCCCUUUUAUUUUUCUACUGCAACACAGCAACCCUUUUUUUUUCCUCUAGCAACUUCACCCUAUAAUUGUACCACCAAUCUCCCCACUUAAUUUUUUUUAACCUCUACGUAGGAGAAAGGAAACCCAUUUUUCUUUCUAUAUUCUCUAACCUAAAACCCUCCCUACUCUCUUUUUUUAAUCCAUUUUCACAUAACUACCUACUCUCUACUACAUCUCCUCAUCCACAUAAAACACUAACCACUUCUAUCAUAAAAUACAUUUUCUCCCUUUACCCCUCAGGUUAAUACUUCCACUAAACACAACCCAAGUAUAUAUUUUCUCACUAAAAUUUGGUCUAAUAGUCUCCACACGUGUAACUACUUCAAAGAGUGAAUUAUUUCAGUCAAUCAAUACACCCAACAUAACAUACAACACAUCACAUUAUAGUUCAUCCAACUCAGUACCUGUUGAAAGGCUUUUUGGUCGCACAAAAAGACAACAAACCCUAGUCCCCACUAAUGUAGUAUAGGGCAACCAUGGAAUCAAUCCACAGACUCGACAAAAUUAAGUUUUAAGAAUGUAAGGUUAGUUCUUGUAUUUUAUUUAUUUACUAAAUAGGUGGGGACAAAGAAAUCUAACUAAAAAGGAAAAAAAAUAAAACUAAAAUCUAUUUUUGAAUAAGAAAUAAUAUGAAAUAAAAGGAAAGUAAAACUAUAUAGAAAUCUAAACAACCUAAGAUAGAAACAGUAACAAAAGCUAAUAUGAAAUUUUAAAUGAAACUAAAACCAAUGAAUCUGGAUAUGCAAAUUAAAGAAAUCUAGUGCUCAAUAUAUGAAAACAAUGAACAAAUGAAUCUCCUAAUUGUAUGCGUAUUCUAGAAAUGUAAAUGUAAAUGCAAAGACUAGAUAAUCACAUAACAGAACCAAAUGGAAAGUAAAGUAAAAAUCACAAUCAGACCUAAGACUAUUCAACAUCAAUUCAACACAAAUAUUAAAAAUAAAGAAACAAACUGAAGAUAUUAGGCAAAAUCAAAGAACAAAAUCAAAGAACAUAGACAAAAGUGCACUAGAUUGAAUGAAAGAGUCUCAAUUAC